CCUACGGUGUGCAGCAGGGAGGACUAUUGGUCAAUGGGCGAGAGCCUGAACCAGCCAAGUCGCGUGAAGGAUGACGGCCCUACGGGUUGUAACCUUCUUUUGUCAGGGAGCACUUGGGUCCACGCUUGGGCUUAGCGAGAGUACCUGAAGAAAAAGCAUCGGCUAACUCCGUGCCAGCAGCCGCGGUAAUACGUAGGGGGCAAGCGUUAUCCGGAUUUACUGGGUGUAAAGGGAGCGUAGACGGGGAGACAAGGCUGAAGUGAAAGCCCGGGGCACAACCCCGGGACUGCUUUGGAAACUGCCUGACGGGAGUGCUGGAGAGGCAAGCGGAAUUCCUAGUGUAGCGGUGAAAUGCGUAGAUAUUAGGAAGAACACCAGUGGCGAAGGCGGCUUGCUGGACAGUAACUGACGUUGAGGCUCGAAAGCGUGGGGAGCAAACAGGAUUAGAUACCCCUGUAGUC
Molecule: ribosomal RNA, 461 nt
Filed under: uncultured bacterium
Lineage: Bacteria
Description: partial 16S ribosomal RNA
Rfam family: Bacterial small subunit ribosomal RNA
Source: RNAcentral